This 253-nucleotide ribosomal RNA is filed under the name uncultured bacterium. RNAcentral describes it as "partial 16S ribosomal RNA". It matches the Rfam family "Bacterial small subunit ribosomal RNA", at positions 524 to 776 of the family's 1533-position model. The record is from RNAcentral.
UACGAAGGGUGCAAGCGUUAAUCGGAAUUACUGGGCGUAAAGCGUGCGUAGGUGGUCUUUUAAGUCCGUUGUGAAAGCCCUGGGCUCAACCUGGGAAUGGCAGUGGAUACUGGAAGGCUGGAGUACGGUAGAGGAGGGUGGAAUUCCGGGUGUAGCGGUGGAAUGCGUAGAGAUCCGGAAGAACACCGGUGGCGAAGGCGGCCUGCUGGGCAGUAGCUGACGCUGAUGCGCGACAGCGUGGGGAGCAAACAGG